RNAcentral lists this ribosomal RNA (341 nucleotides) under uncultured Anoxybacillus sp. RNAcentral describes it as "bacterial SSU rRNA". It matches the Rfam family "Bacterial small subunit ribosomal RNA", at positions 1040 to 1382 of the family's 1533-position model. The record is from RNAcentral. Lineage: Bacteria; Bacillati; Bacillota; Bacilli; Caryophanales; Anoxybacillaceae.
GGUGCAUGGUUGUCGUCAGCUCGUGUCGUGAGAUGUUGGGUUAAGUCCCGCAACGAGCGCAACCCUCGACCUUAGUUGCCAGCAUUCAGUUGGGCACUCUAAGGUGACUGCCGGCUAAAAGUCGGAGGAAGGUGGGGAUGACGUCAAAUCAUCAUGCCCCUUAUGACCUGGGCUACACACGUGCUACAAUGGGCGGUACAAAGGGCCGCGAACCCGCGAGGGGGAGCCAAUCCCAAAAAGCCGCUCUCAGUUCGGAUUGCAGGCUGCAACUCGCCUGCAUGAAGCCGGAAUCGCUAGUAAUCGCGGAUCAGCAUGCCGCGGUGAAUACGUUCCCGGGCCUU